Molecule: ribosomal RNA, 469 nt
Filed under: uncultured bacterium
Lineage: Bacteria
Description: partial 16S ribosomal RNA
Rfam family: Bacterial small subunit ribosomal RNA
Source: RNAcentral
GACGAACGCUGGCGGCGUGCUUAACACAUGCAAGUCGAACGGAAAGGCCCUGCUUGCAGGGUGCUCGAGUGGCGAACGGGUGAGUAACACGUGGGUGAUCUGCCCCUUACUUCGGGAUAAGCCUGGGAAACUGGGUCUACUACUGGAUAGGACCAUGCUGUAGGUGGUGUGGUGGAAAGAUUAGUUUCGGUAAGGGAUGAGCUCGCGGCCUAUCAGCUUGUUGGUGGGGUAAUGGCCUACCAAGGCGUCGACGGGUAGCCGGCCUGAGAGGGUGGACGGCCACAUUGGGACUGAGAUACGGCCCAGACUCCUACGGGAGGCAGCAGUGGGGAAUAUUGCACAAUGGGCGCAAGCCUGAUGCAGCGACGCCGCGUGGGGGAUGACGGCCUUCGGGUUGUAAACUCCUUUCAGCCAUGACGAAGCCCUUGUGGUGACGGUAGUGGUAGAAGAAGCACCGGCUAACUACGUG